UUGCAAGUAUAAAAGUUUAAUUCCUUAGCUACCACAUAACAUUACAUUUGAUUAUUUACAUAACACUUCAAACACACCAACAAAGACUUUAAAUGCAAGGACUUGAAAGUGAUCAAAAUGACAUAAUUUGGUAAGGCACCAAGUGCACCAAACCAACACAAUUUCAAAAGCUUAAACAUACCAAAAAAUACAUUACAAAGAUCAUAUACAUGUUAUUAUUAACCUUGGCCAAAAUACACAAAAUCUACCGAAAUAGUUGAUGGAUAAUGUGAUAGUUCUCCCAUAAGCUUCCAACCGAUCGAGCUUCUGAUAAUCUAUAAAAAAAAAAGAAAGAAAAUACAUAAGCAACGAGUGCUUAGUAAGCUCAUAUAAACUUAAACUUAACUUACCAUUUCAUUUAUAAAUUUCAUAAAUUAGGCAUAAAUCAUUACCAAUACCAUAAGCUUAACUUAAGCCUAUACAACAUCAUCAAAUUCACAAGUUAGCACACUUAUUCAUGAUACUAUUGAAUUCUACUAUAAGAUAAGUAGUUUACCAUAUAUAAACACAUCAUUAAUGUUGUCAUAAGAUCAUGAUUCAUUACAUUUGCAUACUUACCAUUUUAUUUCCUUUUCUUACCCGUUGAACCAUCAAGAAUUAUGUUGAAUACUCGGGAAAGCUCACACAUAGUGUGCCUUUACAUAUAACCGUAACCUUUCCUUUACAUCAAUACUGUAACACCCCCUACCCGUAUUCCGAGCCUAGAAUAGGGUACGAGGCAUUACCAAACUUAAUAUGAUCAAUCAUGUAAAAAAAUCAGCCAUAAAAUUUUUUCUAAAUUAAAAACUUUCAUACAUAUGUUUAACGUCUCUUAUAUGGGCCUACGGGGCCCAAAACAUACAUUCAGGGUGGUUCGGGACCAAACCGUAAACAUAUAAAACUUUUGCAACACUUAGAAAAUUUUCACACUUUGGAGAGUCACACGCUCGUGUUUUCAACCCGUGUAACUCUUUGUUUAUAACUUCAUCACCCUUGUCAGUCAUACACUUCAUAUAAAUAACAAGAAACGUGUAUGGGCUUAAUUCUCAUUCAAUUUCUCACAUAUAUACACAAUUUCACGUUAUGUAAUCAUACAACAUAUAUCAGCCAUAUCUCUGUAAUCUAAAUAUAUUUUCAUAACAACUUAUCUUGAUUUCAGACUAUUUCAUAUUUAAGCUUAAAUAACCAAAGUAUUUGAAAUAUCAUCUUUAUGCAAAUAGUACACAUGAGGUAUAUAAUUCUAUAAUUAUGAAUAAACACAUUUAUCAAACAUUUUCCAUAUUCAUAUAUCAAUGUCUCAUGUCUCCAUAUAUCAAUAACCGUCAUUUUCAUGAAUUCCGAGUUCAAUUUCAUAAUUAUUUGUCUCGUGUUCAAUUUAUUCCAUAUCGAAAUUUUAUUCAUUAAACAUUUGAAUUAUCAAUACAUAUAGACAGUACAUUCAAGAUGAACAAUUAUAUAAUCACAAAUGAAUUCAUUUAUCAACCAAGUUCUAGACUCGUAUCUUAUCAACUUGUACUUCCUUGUAUCACAUAAUUCCAUGUAACACUUACCAAACUUUGUCAAAUUAGUGAACGUCUUACGAAAUUGAGUACUUCGUUUUCUCGAUGCCAUAGUUCAACUAUGGUCUUACACAUCUUCACAUAAUGAUGCCAUAGCCCAACUAUGGUCUUACACAUAUUCAUAUAUCGAUGCCAUAGUCCAGCUAUGGUCUUACACAAAUCACAUAUCUCACUGAUGCCAUAUCCCAAAUAAGUUCUUAUACAGUAGCAUAUAUCACACCGAUGCCAUAUCCCAGAUAUGGUCUUAUACAGAAAUCACUUGUCACUUGUCACUUGUAGCCGAAGCUACCACUAUUCACUGAUCAGGUAGCCGAAACUACCACUUUUCACUGAUUAGGUAGCAGAAGCUACCACUUUUCACUAAUCAGGUAGCAGAAGCUACCACUUUUCACUAAUCAGGUAGCAGAAGCUACCACUUUUCACUUGUCAUUUGUCAUUGAUUAGAUAAGUGUAGCCGAAGCUAUCACUUAUCACUUGUUGCCAGGGUCCAACCAUGGUCUUUUCCUUCAAUUCAUCUUAUCACUGAACUAAAAUGUUCAAUUUGAUCAUUUAUUCAAUUUUCAUGCUUUUACAUUAUUCACGAUUUUAUCAUCAAUACAUAUGAAAUAACACAUCAUGAAAUUCAUAAAAUUAACAAAUAAUCAUUAAAAUUUAGCCAUAUAAACUCACAAGUUCAAUUUUUGUAUUAUAACGAUAAUCAUAAUUUCAUAAUAAAUAUACCAAAUAAAAUAUUAUAUCAUUUCUAAUCCAACACUUAUCGAUUAUAAUCGGGCAUGUGAUCAAUUUAUACACGAGUCAUUCAUAUAUUUUUGUAUAUUUUCCUCCUCCUCCUCUCCAUCCACAUCCUUAGUAUAAAUAACACACUUGUAGGUAACAUUAUCCAUAAUUUUCACUAUCUACUUAUGUGAAUAUUCAAGCUGUCCAUCUGUGUCAUAGUCACUAAAUUAUUUUUAUCUUGAGCUACAGAACUCCAAAUUAAGAUCCAUAAAUUUUCCCAAAAACUAGACUUAUAUGUCUUCUUACCAUAACAAUUUCAUAAUUUUUGGUUACGCCAAUUAAUACAGUUUAUUCAUUGAAGUCUCCCCUCUUCUGCUGUCUGACAGUUCCGACCCUUCUUCACUAAAAAUUAAUUAUCUUCUCGUACAAGAUUCGAAUGAUGUCCUUGUUUGUUUUUCUUGAAAAUAGACUCAUUCAGGAUACUAAACAUAUAAAUUUAAGCCUCUAAUUAUUUUUAUCCAAUUUUUUAUGAUUUUCCAAAUUCAGAAUAGGGGAAUACGAAAUCAUUCUGACCUUUUCUCACAAAAGUUAUUGUAUCUCAUGAUUUACAAUUCCAUUGCUUACAUAAUUUCUUUUAUAAGAAACUAGACUCAAUAAGAUUUAAUUUCAUAUUUUAUUCAUCCUCUAAUUCGAUCUCUAAAAUUUUUGGUGAUUUUUCAAAGUUAAACUACUGCUGCUGCCCAAAACAGUUUUAGUGAAAAAUGUUGAUUUCCAUUUUACCCCAAAUUUCACAAUUCAUACAAUUCAAUCCUUGCUCUAUUAACCCCUCAAUUAAGAUAAUUUUCUCAAUUAAUACUUUUUCUAGGCAUGAUAAGUUAUUUCAUAACUAUUGAAAUUCAGAAUUUCCACAUAAAACUCUAACUUCAAACUCUUUUACAAUUAGGUCCCAAACAUUCACUUUCUAUUCAAUUCUUUCAAUAAAAUCAGAAUAUAAACAAUUUAAAGCUCCAAUUCCAUGCCAAAUCAUCAUAUACUUCCAGCACUCAUCCAUAACAACUUCAAAAAUUAGACAUGGAAUCAAAAACUAAUGAAAUAGUAAGUUGGACCCAAUUGUAAAAGUCCAAAAACAUAAAAAUGUCAAGGAGAAAGCAAGAAUUAAACUUACAUGAAGCUAGAGUAUGAAAACCAGCUUGAACCCUCCUCCAUGGCUGUUUUUCAGCUGAUGAAUAUG
This 3525-nucleotide long non-coding RNA is filed under the name Gossypium barbadense (sea-island cotton). RNAcentral's name for it is "long non-coding RNA (GBAR_LNC002699)". Lineage: Eukaryota; Viridiplantae; Streptophyta; Magnoliopsida; Malvales; Malvaceae. The record is from RNAcentral.